UAAAGCUAGAGAACCGAAUGUAA
RNAcentral lists this non-coding RNA (23 nucleotides) under Gallus gallus (chicken). Lineage: Eukaryota; Metazoa; Chordata; Aves; Galliformes; Phasianidae. The record is from RNAcentral.